GAUGAACGCUAGCGGCAGGCCUAAUACAUGCAAGUCGAACGAGAUUAAGAGGCUUGCUUCUUAUGAAAGUGGCGCACGGGUGCGUAACGCGUAUGCAACCUACCUUAAUCAGGGGGAUAGCCCUAAGAAAUUCGGAUUAAGACCGCAUAAAAACACAGGAUAGCAUUAUCCAAUGUUCAAAUAUUUAUAGGAUUAAGAUGGGCAUGCGUGUCAUUAGCUAGUUGGCGGGGUAACGGCCCACCAAGGCGACGAUGACUAGGGGAUCUGAGAGGAUGACCCCCCACACUGGUACUGAGACACGGACCAGACUCCUACGGGAGGCAGCAGUAAGGAAUAUUGGUCAAUGGAGGGAACUCUGAACCAGCCAUGCCGCGUGCAGGAAGACAGCCCUCUGGGUCGUAAACUGCUUUUAUUCGGGAAUAAACCUUUCUACGUGUAGGAAGCUGAAUGUACCGAAGGAAUAAGGAUCGGCUAACUCCGUG
Molecule: ribosomal RNA, 482 nt
Filed under: uncultured bacterium
Lineage: Bacteria
Description: partial 16S ribosomal RNA
Rfam family: Bacterial small subunit ribosomal RNA
Source: RNAcentral